RNAcentral lists this ribosomal RNA (1067 nucleotides) under Escherichia coli. Its description in RNAcentral is "partial 23S ribosomal RNA". It matches the Rfam family "Bacterial large subunit ribosomal RNA", at positions 128 to 1238 of the family's 2925-position model. Lineage: Bacteria; Pseudomonadati; Pseudomonadota; Gammaproteobacteria; Enterobacterales; Enterobacteriaceae. The record is from RNAcentral.
CCAGUGUGUUUCGACACACUAUCAUUAACUGAAUCCAUAGGUUAAUGAGGCGAACCGGGGGAACUGAAACAUCUAAGUACCCCGAGGAAAAGAAAUCAACCGAGAUUCCCCCAGUAGCGGCGAGCGAACGGGGAGGAGCCCAGAGCCUGAAUCAGUGUGUGUGUUAGUGGAAGCGUCUGGAAAGGCGCGCGAUACAGGGUGACAGCCCCGUACACAAAAAUGCACAUACUGUGAGCUCGAUGAGUAGGGCGGGACACGUGGUAUCCUGUCUGAAUAUGGGGGGACCAUCCUCCAAGGCUAAAUACUCCUGACUGACCGAUAGUGAACCAGUACCGUGAGGGAAAGGCGAAAAGAACCCCGGCGAGGGGAGUGAAAAAGAACCUGAAACCGUGUACGUACAAGCAGUGGGAGCCUCUUAAUGGGGUGACUGCGUACCUUUUGUAUAAUGGGUCAGCGACUUAUAUUCUGUAGCAAGGUUAACCGAAUAGGGGAGCCGAAGGGAAACCGAGUCUUAACUGGGCGUUAAGUUGCAGGGUAUAGACCCGAAACCCGGUGAUCUAGCCAUGGGCAGGUUGAAGGUUGGGUAACACUAACUGGAGGACCGAACCGACUAAUGUUGAAAAAUUAGCGGAUGACUUGUGGCUGGGGGUGAAAGGCCAAUCAAACCGGGAGAUAGCUGGUUCUCCCCGAAAGCUAUUUAGGUAGCGCCUCGUGAAUUCAUCUCCGGGGGUAGAGCACUGUUUCGGCAAGGGGGUCAUCCCGACUUACCAACCCGAUGCAAACUGCGAAUACCGGAGAAUGUUAUCACGGGAGACACACGGCGGGUGCUAACGUCCGUCGUGAAGAGGGAAACAACCCAGACCGCCAGCUAAGGUCCCAAAGUCAUGGUUAAGUGGGAAACGAUGUGGGAAGGCCCAGACAGCCAGGAUGUUGGCUUAGAAGCAGCCAUCAUUUAAAGAAAGCGUAAUAGCUCACUGGUCGAGUCGGCCUGCGCGGAAGAUGUAACGGGGCUAAACCAUGCACCGAAGCUGCGGCAGCGACACUAUGUGUUGUUGGGUAGGGGAGCG